UAUGUUUAACGUGUGUACUGUGUGUAGCAAGUGUUUUUGGUUACUGGUAAACCGUUUAGCUGUCUUAUAUAAAUUUAGUUAGCACUCUUUGGUGGAGUUAGGCUUUUGUUUUACUUAUUUUGUUUGUGUUGUUGAAUAAAUACACCAUAAAACCUACUCUGCCACAGUUCUUUAGCUAGAACAAUCUAUAAUUGCUUUACACCUAAGAAAUAAAACUUGCAAUGGGUACAUCAGCUCUGACAGCAUGGUUUUCUUUGAACAAGAAGGUUCUGAAACCUAUCCCGUCUGUGUUUUACUCAAUAAAUUAAAGACUACACUACUAUCUAGACACACACUGUAAUAUAUAUAGAUCAACUAGGGGUUUUAAUUGUUGAAUGAUUGAUCGAUUAAUCACACCUGUGUGCUUUGAUCGAUUAAAAAAUAAUGAAUCGAUUUCUACCUGAGUGCAGUUGCAAAAAAUGGUGCGCGAAAAACAAAUCUUGAAAAAUGGUGGAGCGUACUUACCUAGAUUGGUUUCACAAGCAUCUGCCUAGAAGGGGUUUUCUUUGACCGAUCGGCCGGCUGCAGUAGCAUUAUGCUGAUUCUUUGUAUUACUUGUAAUUGUAUUUCUCUACAAUUCCAUAUCACUAGCAAACAUGUGAUUAAUCGAUUUAAAAGACUGGAUAAUGUUUAGCCUUUUAGAGAAUUCUGUAUAAAUGAAAAACUGGUUAUAAAGGUCGCCGCCUUUUUGCUGUAACUGAAUCCUCGUUAAAGUAUUUAUAGUAAAAUAAAUACAAACUGCCAACAGUAUUACAGUGUAAUCAUUAACAGUAGAAAGUGGAAUGUUUGAAGGUAACUGUGCUUACCGAGUUACAUAGUCAAACAUUAAUAAACCAGCUCUGGCAUUUGUGAACCAGCUUGGCAGGCAAUACACGUAAUCAGCGUCCACACUGGGGAUGGGAGACACAGCUGACUUUUGCAGUAAGUAAUGAUAUAUCACCAACCAACUUACAUUAUUUUAAAUAUGAUACUUUUGCAAUGGUGGCUCAAUGGAUUGGCAGUUUGAUAUGAAGCCUUUCUCACGUAGGUCACUGGUUAGAAUACACCCAAGCAAUAUAAUGGCUGAAUGUCAGUUCAAUCUGACGACUCUAUUGAAAAAGAGUCGUAGUUGUCUUAGCACAGUUUAUAAUGUCAACUUCACAAGCAGUGCACUAAUCAGCCAGCAAGGCUGUUUUUCAGAGAGGUCCAGGUUUCAAUGGGCAUGGAGACCCUCUCUACCCCAAAGAGGGUUGUUCGUUCAAUGCAGACUUCUGACACCAAUUCCAGCUGCACUGUCUGUAUUUGUCAUUCACAGGUGCUCAAUUGUAAACCCUGACAUUACAGUCGGGCCCGUGAUUAUAGAAUGUGAUGAUUGACUUGAGAAACAUCAGAACAUGAUGACAGCCCCUGACACUUUGCCGUCAGUGUCCUAAUGAAAAUGGAUGGGGUUGUCUUUGUGGUACUGUAUUUGUACCGUUAGUUAUUGUUCCUCCAAAUACAAUAAGAAUUUGUGAUGAUCAAAUGCCCUAUAAUCUGUCACAUAUGGAUGACAAUAGUGACUGUGAAACACUAGACCAGCUGCCCUCAUUUAUUUUCUGCUUGGAAUUCUUGUUGAAUUGAGUGAGCUGUUUAUGGCCUCUUGUGGCCAAAGUGGAGAAAUGCAACUGAAAGAAGCAACAAAUGAAUGUACUUAAAGGAAAGAGAUGGUUCAAAAUGAAGCCCAAAAUUUACAUGAAAAUUCAGACAAAAGGAUAUUUCUGAGCUAAGCUUUUGAAGGAACUGUGGUUGUGAUGAAGCCCUGCAUGGCCAUUUGUUAAGGGAUUAUCUGCCACACGCUGUGGAUACGGCUAGCAUGAUCCGGAGCUGUCACUAAAGGCCAGCACCAAACCAGGACAACAUUUCACUUGUGUCACGAUUAACUGUAUUUGCAGCAUGAGCACUAUAGCACUCACUGUGGACUUGUGAUCGUGUUUGUGUUACGUGUGGGAGUUUAAAGAUCGGGACUAUUAUUUCGACGCCAACCCGUGGAUUACAACAGAGCAAUACGCAUCCCAUUGUGUAUUGUCUGUUAUCAUUAUUGUUUACUGUUUGUCGUCAGACUUUGGGUUACAAAAAUAAACCUCCAUUUCACCAGUACUUUGUCUUGAGCACUGCAUCACCCCUACACCUGCACACUGCAAACACUUUGCCACAUAAAUAUAGUAAGUUCAAUAUAUA
Molecule: long non-coding RNA, 2235 nt
Organism: Polyodon spathula (Mississippi paddlefish)
Lineage: Eukaryota; Metazoa; Chordata; Actinopteri; Acipenseriformes; Polyodontidae
Exons: 3
Source: RefSeq, a predicted model, not a curated record